UACGUAGGUGGCAAGCGUUGUCCGGAUUUAUUGGGUUUAAAGGGUGCGUAGGCGGCUUUGUAAGUCAGUGGUGAAAUCUGGCAGCUUAACUGUCAAGGUGCCAUUGAUACUGCGGAGCUUGAGUACAGAUGAGGUAGGCGGAAUUGACGGUGUAGCGGUGAAAUGCUUAGAUAUCGUCAAGAACACCUAUAGCGAAGGCAGCUUACUAGGCUGUAACUGACGCUGAGGCACGAAAGUGUGGGGAUCAAACAGG
Molecule: ribosomal RNA, 253 nt
Filed under: uncultured bacterium
Lineage: Bacteria
Description: partial 16S ribosomal RNA
Rfam family: Bacterial small subunit ribosomal RNA
Source: RNAcentral